GCCCUCGUAGCUCAGGGGAUAGAGCACCGGCCUCCGGAGCCGGGUGCGCAGGUUCGAAUCCUGCCGGGGGCG
RNAcentral lists this transfer RNA (72 nucleotides) under bacterium. RNAcentral describes it as "tRNA-Arg". It matches the Rfam family "tRNA". From Rfam's summary of the family: Transfer RNA (tRNA) molecules are approximately 80 nucleotides in length. RNAcentral also lists the same sequence under 7 other names. The record is from RNAcentral.